Molecule: ribosomal RNA, 2501 nt
Filed under: Bordetella bronchiseptica
Lineage: Bacteria; Pseudomonadati; Pseudomonadota; Betaproteobacteria; Burkholderiales; Alcaligenaceae
Description: bacterial LSU rRNA
Rfam family: Bacterial large subunit ribosomal RNA
Source: RNAcentral
AGUGCAUAUGGUGGAUGCCUUGGCGAUCACAGGCGAUGAAGGACGUAGUAGCCUGCGAAAAGCUGCGGGGAGCUGGCAAACAAGCAUUGAUCCGCAGAUAUCCGAAUGGGGAAACCCACCGCGCAAGCGGUAUCCCUGGCUGAAUACAUAGGCCAGUGGAGGCGAACCGGGUGAACUGAAACAUCUCAGUAGCUCGAGGAAAAGAAAUCAACCGAGAUUCCGAAAGUAGUGGCGAGCGAAAUCGGAAGAGCCUUUACGAUUUAGCAUUUUGCAUAGUCGAACGGAAUGGAAAGUCCGGCCGUAGCAGGUGAUAGCCCUGUAGACGAAAUGCAGAGUGUGGAACUAGGCGUAAGAGAAGUAGGGCGGGACACGUGAAAUCCUGUCUGAAGAUGGGGGGACCAUCCUCCAAGGCUAAAUACUCGUGAUCGACCGAUAGUGAACCAGUACCGUGAGGGAAAGGCGAAAAGAACCCCGGAAGGGGAGUGAAAUAGAUCCUGAAACCGUAUGCAUACAAACAGUCGGAGCCUCUUUAUGGGGUGACGGCGUACCUUUUGUAUAAUGGGUCAGCGACUUACAUUCAGUGGCGAGCUUAACCGAAUAGGGAAGGCGUAGCGAAAGCGAGUCCGAAUAGGGCGUCCAGUCGCUGGGUGUAGACCCGAAACCAGAUGAUCUACCCAUGGCCAGGUUGAAGGCACGGUAACACGUGCUGGAGGACCGAACCCACUAGUGUUGAAAAACUAGGGGAUGAGCUGUGGAUAGGGGUGAAAGGCUAAACAAAUCUGGAAAUAGCUGGUUCUCUCCGAAAACUAUUUAGGUAGUGCCUCAAGUAUUACUGCAGGGGGUAGAGCACUGUUAUGGCUAGGGGGUCAUGGCGACUUACCAAACCAUGGCAAACUCCGAAUACCUGCAAGUACAGCUUGGGAGACAGAGCACCGGGUGCUAACGUCCGGACUCAAGAGGGAAACAACCCAGACCGCCAGCUAAGGUCCCGAAUUAUCGCUAAGUGGGAAACGAAGUGGGAAGGCAUAGACAGUCAGGAGGUUGGCUUAGAAGCAGCCACCCUUUAAAGAAAGCGUAAUAGCUCACUGAUCGAGUCGUCCUGCGCGGAAGAUGUAACGGGGCUAAGCGAUAAACCGAAGCUGCGGGUGUGCACUUUUAGUGCACGCGGUAGGAGAGCGUUCUGUAAGCCUGCGAAGGUGGCUUGUAAAGGCUGCUGGAGGUAUCAGAAGUGCGAAUGCUGACAUGAGUAGCGAUAAAGGGGGUGAAAAGCCCCCUCGCCGUAAGUCCAAGGUUUCCUGCGCAACGUUCAUCGGCGCAGGGUGAGUCGGCCCCUAAGGCGAGGCAGAGAUGCGUAGCGGAUGGGAAGCUGGUUAAUAUUCCAGCACCGUCGUACAGUGCGAUGGGGGGACGGAUCGCGGAAGGUCAUCAGGGUGUUGGACGUCCCUGUUGCUGCAUUGAAGAUGGCGCUUAGGCAAAUCCGGGCGCGAGAAUCAAGGGUGUGGCACGAGCGAGCAAGUCUCGCGAAGUGAUUGGAAGUGGUUCCAAGAAAAGCCUCUAAGCUUCAGCUGUACGAGACCGUACCGCAAACCGACACNCGGGAGAAGGUAUACCCUGGUAGUGUGAAGCGCCUGCGCGCUGAGCAUGAAGGGGUCGCAGAGAAUCGGUGGCUGCGACUGUUUAUUAAAAACACAGCACUCUGCAAAGACGAAAGUCGACGUAUAGGGUGUGACGCCUGCCCGGUGCCGGAAGGUUAAGUGAUGGGGUGCAAGCUCUUGAUCGAAGCCCCGGUAAACGGCGGCCGUAACUAUAACGGUCCUAAGGUAGCGAAAUUCCUUGUCGGGUAAGUUCCGACCUGCACGAAUGGCGUAACGAUGGCCACACUGUCUCCUCCUGAGACUCAGCGAAGUUGAAGUGUUUGUGAUGAUGCAAUCUACCCGCGGCUAGACGGAAAGACCCCAUGAACCUUUACUGUAGCUUUGCAUUGGACUGUGAACCGGCCUGUGUAGGAUAGGUGGGAGGCGCAGAACUCGAGUCGCCAGAUUCGAGGGAGCCAUCCUUGAAAUACCACCCUGGUUUGUUUGCGGUUCUAACCUUGGUCCGUUAUCCGGAUCGGGGACAGUGCAUGGUAGGCAGUUUGACUGGGGCGGUCUCCUCCCAAAGCGUAACGGAGGAGUUCGAAGGUACGCUAGGUACGGUCGGAAAUCGUGCUGAUAGUGCAAUGGCAUAAGCGUGCUUGACUGUGAGACUGACAAGUCGAACAGGUGCGAAAGCAGGACAUAGUGAUCCGGUGGUUCUGAAUGGAAGGGCCAUCGCUCAACGGAUAAAAGGUACUCUGGGGAUAACAGGCUGAUACCGCCCAAGAGUUCAUAUCGACGGCGGUGUUUGGCACCUCGAUGUCGGCUCAUCUCAUCCUGGGGCUGUAGCCGGUCCCAAGGGUAUGGCUGUUCGCCAUUUAAAGAGGUACGUGAGCUGGGUUUAAAACGUCGUGAGACAGUUUGGUC